Molecule: ribosomal RNA, 253 nt
Filed under: uncultured bacterium
Lineage: Bacteria
Description: partial 16S ribosomal RNA
Rfam family: Bacterial small subunit ribosomal RNA
Source: RNAcentral
UACGUAGGGGGCUAGCGUUGUCCGGAAUCAUUGGGCGUAAAGCGCGUGUAGGCGGCUUGAUAAGUCUGCUCUGAAAGCCCGGGGCUCAACCCUGGGAGGCGGGUGGAUACUGUCGAGCUCGAGUCCGGAAGAGGCGAGUGGAAUUCCUGGUGUAGCGGUGAAAUGCGCAGAUAUCAGGAGGAACACCAAUGGCGAAGGCAGCUCGCCGGGACGGUACUGACGCUGAGACGCGAAAGCGUGGGGAGCAAACAGG